CACAUGACUCUCGGCAACGGAUAUCUCGGCUCUCGCAUCGAUGAAGAACGUAGCGAAAUGCGAUACCUGGUGUGAAUUGCAGAAUCCCGCGAACCAUCGAGUCUUUGAACGCAAGUUGCGCCCGAGGCCCUCGGGCCGAGGGCACGCCUGCCUGGGCGUCACGC
This 164-nucleotide ribosomal RNA is filed under the name Arundinaria fargesii. RNAcentral's name for it is "5.8S ribosomal RNA". It matches the Rfam family "5.8S ribosomal RNA". From Rfam's summary of the family: 5.8S ribosomal RNA (5.8S rRNA) is a component of the large subunit of the eukaryotic ribosome. RNAcentral also lists the same sequence under 3 other names. Lineage: Eukaryota; Viridiplantae; Streptophyta; Magnoliopsida; Poales; Poaceae. The record is from RNAcentral.